This 355-nucleotide long non-coding RNA is filed under the name Phoenix dactylifera (date palm). RNAcentral's name for it is "long non-coding RNA (PDAC_LNC006192)". The record is from RNAcentral. Lineage: Eukaryota; Viridiplantae; Streptophyta; Magnoliopsida; Arecales; Arecaceae.
UUUUCUUAAAACAGACUCUAAACUUGUCUCUCUCUUGGUGACGAUCUUUCAUGAAAACUACAGAAAAACAUAUAAGGAGGAGAUUGUUGAUCCGAUUUAUUAACCUGAUGGAGUUGUAACCAUGCUAAGGUUAUAAUUAAAUAGGUUUUGGUCCUGAUUAGAUAAUUAUUUUUGUAUGAGGAAAAAGGUUUGAUUAACCCUUUUUAUUAAGUCACGGUCCUGUUUUUAGUCUUGUCGAGUCCGGUCUGAAGCAGUUCAGCAAGAAUUAAAUUUAAAUGACAUUGGGCUCGAGAACAAGUUCAAGCAAAUCAACGAUCAUGACCCACCUCAAAUCCAAAGCUAAUUCCCAACCAAU